CCCGACCAACCCGUCAGGGUAGAUAGGAAAUACAAUACCACUCUUGAAAACCAGAUGAGAAGGUUUCCACAAAAGUCUGGUGCCGUACCUUUGAUGAACGAAGAAGCCAAAGCUAAGAGAAGGACACAAAAUAAAGACAAGGAGGUUAUUUUAGUUCGCUUCGGGGCUUUAAAUAAUUAAAUAUUUGAUAAUUUCAGGAGAUGGAUAAUGAAAGGGUAUAUGGGUCAAGCAAUUUACAAUAUAUUAUUAAUUGAUGGUUGAGUGACAAUGAACUUUUUUCUGUACUUUUUUGGAGAGUAAAAAAUAAAAAAAGAAUUGGAAGAGAUUCAUAGGAACACGCAAUAUAGGGGAAGUAACGUGUAAAAGGAAAACGUUGAAGGGGAACGGUAAGAUGAAGACGCAAGUAAAUGAAAAUUUUGAUUGACAAACAGGGGUAGCUCUCAAAAUCAUUUUGGAAAAAUCAAGAAAAUGUUCUACAUUUCACCCACGCCGUCGAAUAUUUGGGAAUAAAUCAAAAAGAAAGGGAAGAAA
Long non-coding RNA from Photinus pyralis (common eastern firefly), 531 nucleotides. RefSeq lists it as uncharacterized. The record is from RefSeq and is a predicted model, not a curated record. NCBI's taxonomy places the organism in Eukaryota, Metazoa, Arthropoda, Insecta, Coleoptera, Lampyridae. The transcript has 3 exons.